This 1191-nucleotide ribosomal RNA is filed under the name Campylobacter jejuni subsp. jejuni LMG 23216. RNAcentral's name for it is "bacterial LSU rRNA". It matches the Rfam family "Bacterial large subunit ribosomal RNA", at positions 1 to 1209 of the family's 2925-position model. Lineage: Bacteria; Pseudomonadati; Campylobacterota; Epsilonproteobacteria; Campylobacterales; Campylobacteraceae. The record is from RNAcentral.
AAAAGGUAAGCUACUAAGAGCGAAUGGUGGAUGCCUUGACUGGUAAAGGCGAUGAAGGACGUACUAGACUGCGAUAAGCUACGGGGAGCUGUCAAGAAGCUUUGAUCCGUAGAUUUCCGAAUGGGGCAACCCAAUGUAUAGAGAUAUACAUUACCUAUAUAGGAGCGAACGAGGGGAAUUGAAACAUCUUAGUACCCUCAGGAAAAGAAAUCAAUAGAGAUUGCGUCAGUAGCGGCGAGCGAAAGCGCAAGAGGGCAAACCCAGUGCUUGCACUGGGGGUUGUAGGACUGCAAUGUGCAAGAGCUGAGUUUAGCAGAACAUUCUGGAAAGUAUAGCCAUAGAGGGUGAUAGUCCCGUAUGCGAAAAACAGAGCUUAGCUAGCAGUAUCCUGAGUAGGGCGGGACACGAGGAAUCCUGUCUGAAUCCGGGUCGACCACGAUCCAACCCUAAAUACUAAUACCAGAUCGAUAGUGCACAAGUACCGUGAGGGAAAGGUGAAAAGAACUGAGGUGAUCAGAGUGAAAUAGAACCUGAAACCAUUUGCUUACAAUCAUUCAGAGCACUAUGUAGCAAUACAGUGUGAUGGACUGCCUUUUGCAUAAUGAGCCUGCGAGUUGUGGUGUCUGGCAAGGUUAAGCAAACGCGAAGCCGUAGCGAAAGCGAGUCUGAAUAGGGCGCUUAGUCAGAUGCUGCAGACCCGAAACGAAGUGAUCUAUCCAUGAGCAAGUUGAAGCUAGUGUAAGAACUAGUGGAGGACUGAACCCAUAGGCGUUGAAAAGCCCCGGGAUGACUUGUGGAUAGGGGUGAAAGGCCAAUCAAACUUCGUGAUAGCUGGUUCUCUCCGAAAUAUAUUUAGGUAUAGCGUUGUGUCGUAAUAUAAGGGGGUAGAGCACUGAAUGGGCUAGGGCAUACACCAAUGUACCAAACCCUAUCAAACUCCGAAUACCUUAUAUGUAAUCACAGCAGUCAGGCGGCGAGUGAUAAAAUCCGUCGUCAAGAGGGAAACAACCCAGACUACCAGCUAAGGUCCCUAAAUCUUACUUAAGUGGAAAACGAUGUGAAGUUACUUAAACAACCAGGAGGUUGGCUUAGAAGCAGCCAUCCUUUAAAGAAAGCGUAAUAGCUCACUGGUCUAGUGAUUUUGCGCGGAAAAUAUAACGGGGCUAAAGUAAGUACCGAAGCUGUAGACUU